CUGCUCGCUUCUGCAUCACAUACACUAAGAUUGGAAUGAUACAGAAAAGAUUAGCAUGGCCCCUGUACAAGGAUGACAUGCAAAUUUGUGAAGCAUUCCAUUUAAAA
This is a small nuclear RNA of Callithrix jacchus (white-tufted-ear marmoset), 107 nucleotides long. The record is from Ensembl. NCBI's taxonomy places the organism in Eukaryota, Metazoa, Chordata, Mammalia, Primates, Cebidae.